CCGCACAAGCGGUGGAGCAUGUGGUUAAUUCGAAGCAACGCGAAGAACCUUACCAGGUCUUGACAUCCCCUGACAACCCGAGAGAUCGGGCGUUCCCCUUCGGGGGACAGGGUGACAGGUGGUGCAUGGUUGUCGUCAGCUCGUGUCGUGAGAUGUUGGGUUAAGUCCCGCAACGAGCGCAACCCUCGACCUUAGUUGCCAGCAUUCAGUUGGGCACUCUAAGGUGACUGCCGGCUAAAAGUCGGAGGAAGGUGGGGAUGACGUCAAAUCAUCAUGCCCCUUAUGACCUGGGCUACACACGUGCUACAAUGGGCGGUACAAAGGGUCGCGAACCCGCGAGGGGGAGCCAAUCCCAAAAAGCCGCUCUCAGUUCGGAUUGCAGGCUGCAACUCGCCUGCAUGAAGCCGGAAUCGCUAGUAAUCGCGGAUCAGCAUGCCGCGGUGAAUACGUUCCCGGGCCUU
RNAcentral lists this ribosomal RNA (461 nucleotides) under uncultured Anoxybacillus sp. RNAcentral's name for it is "bacterial SSU rRNA". It matches the Rfam family "Bacterial small subunit ribosomal RNA", at positions 921 to 1382 of the family's 1533-position model. Lineage: Bacteria; Bacillati; Bacillota; Bacilli; Caryophanales; Anoxybacillaceae. The record is from RNAcentral.